RNAcentral lists this ribosomal RNA (461 nucleotides) under uncultured bacterium. RNAcentral describes it as "partial 16S ribosomal RNA". It matches the Rfam family "Bacterial small subunit ribosomal RNA", at positions 338 to 795 of the family's 1533-position model. The record is from RNAcentral.
CCUACGGGGGGCAGCAGUGAGGAAUAUUGGUCAAUGGGCGGAAGCCUGAACCAGCCAAGUCGCGUGAGGGAAUAAGGCCCUACGGGUCGUAAACCUCUUUUGCCGGGGAGCAAGGGCGGGGACGUGUCCCGGCCCGGAGAGUACCUGAAGACAAAGCAUCGGCUAACUCCGUGCCAGCAGCCGCGGUAAUACGGAGGAUGCGAGCGUUAUCCGGAUUUACUGGGUGUAAAGGGAGCGUAGACGGCUGUGCAAGUCGGAAGUGAAAGCCCAGGGCUUAACCCUGGGACUGCUUUGGAAACUGGGGAGCUAGAGUGCUGGAGAGGUAAGUGGAAUUCCUAGUGUAGCGGUGAAAUGCGUAGAUAUUAGGAGGAACACCAGUGGCGAAGGCGGCUUACUGGACAGUAACUGACGUUGAGGCUCGAAAGCGUGGGGAGCAAACAGGAUUAGAUACCCGAGUAGUC